AUAUGUGUGACGUCAGCUCCACAUGUCCCUGCGGUUGCUAGGCAACCCCCAUACACAUCCUAUGGUUGCUAGGCGCCGCUCUGAUGCGAGUCCCUGUGAUCGGCGUGUUCUGCCGUUGGGGGCUACCGUGUUGAGACGGAAAAUCCACGAGGCUUCGGCGUGCAUCUGGAAAUGAGGAGGAGGGGGAGAUAUGGACGAUUCAGGGAUAUAAGCUGAAAACUUCCACCCGAAACCACUUACAAAGUGAUUGCUCUUAACCCAGCUGAUUAAUGUGCGUUACCUCGGAUAUAAUUGAAUUACCUCAAGUCCUUAAUGAUAUGGGGAGAUGUUAUCAAGCAAGACACCAGCAACACCAUGUGCAUCAGCAAACUUCCUACUACCUAGUGAAUCCCAACAGAUAUAACAUCUGUACACAAAAGAUACGUCCUCAUGCAUGUGGCCUUAAUACAGGAAAGAGACGAGCAGUGCAACUGAGCUGCUGUGAGAGGUAUUGCAACAACUUUAUUUGCAUCACAGAUGCAGCGAACCACCAAACAGUGUGCCACAUGGGCUGCAACUUUAACCGCAGAGCAGUUGCAGAUGAAGCACAGAGGAAUUCGGCAUGAGGAAAAGCCACAGCUGCUGCAUCGUACAACUUAGUAUAUAGAUUCAAACUUAGUCACAUGUAAACUGAUCCAUGCGAUCUAGCAGGUAGCUUUGUC
Pseudophryne corroboree (corroboree frog) is the source of this 701-nucleotide long non-coding RNA. RefSeq lists it as uncharacterized. The record is from RefSeq and is a predicted model, not a curated record. NCBI's taxonomy places the organism in Eukaryota, Metazoa, Chordata, Amphibia, Anura, Myobatrachidae. The transcript has 5 exons.